UACAGAGGUCUCAAGCGUUGUUCGGAUUCAUUGGGCGUAAAGGGUGCGUAGGUGGCGCUGUAAGUCAGGUGUGAAAUUUCGGAGCUUAACUCCGAAACUGCAUUUGAUACUGCGGUGCUUGAGGACUGGAGAGGAGACUGGAAUUUACGGUGUAGCAGUGAAAUGCGUAGAGAUCGUAAGGAAGACCAGUGGCGAAGGCGGCUCUCUGGGACGGUACUGACGCUGAGACGCGAAAGCGUGGGGAGCGAACAGG
This 253-nucleotide ribosomal RNA is filed under the name uncultured bacterium. RNAcentral's name for it is "partial 16S ribosomal RNA". It matches the Rfam family "Bacterial small subunit ribosomal RNA", at positions 524 to 776 of the family's 1533-position model. The record is from RNAcentral.